This is a long non-coding RNA of Salvia splendens (bonfire salvia), 865 nucleotides long. RefSeq lists it as uncharacterized. The transcript is spliced from 2 exons. Lineage: Eukaryota; Viridiplantae; Streptophyta; Magnoliopsida; Lamiales; Lamiaceae. The record is from RefSeq and is a predicted model, not a curated record.
CAUGGUUUCGUACACUUUACUUAUUAGUCUAUUGCAAAUCAUAUACCUUCCGCCAAACCCUAAUUUUAAUGAAGAUUCAAUGCUGAAUGCAUCUGCAAAAAAUUGAAAUUGGAGUACUUUUUGGGUGGCAUCAUAAGUUUGAUUUGCAGAAUUCCCUGCAGUUUUGAUUCAAUCUGGUUCAGUUACAUUCUGAGGUGGUGAUAACUGCAAUUCGAUGAUAACUCGCUCAAAACUCGUUGAGCAACUCAGAGAUUACCAGGUCCGAUCCCAGCACAAGUGGCCCCCUCUCGCCGUCUUCUCUCCAAAACCCCUUCUUUCAACCUGGAGUGAUGUUGCACUUGCUGCUUUUUGGGCCUUUAUAUUUAUCGCCCUCCUAUUUUCAUCAUAUAUCACCCUUUACCUAAAACAUUACUGGGUUUCCUCCAUUAUACUAUGCCUCGGCAUCCUUGUUCCUAUACGUUUGAGAAUUCUGCGGCAGUCGCUUGCUAGAAAAAGGGACAGAAGAAUGAUGCUACCUCUAUCCAUGUGAGUAUCCUCAAAUUCAUUGAAGCAUUCGAAAAAGUUUGCCUCCAGUCGAACGGUGUUUUCAGUUGCAUACCUGUUGUAAGAAAUAUUGGAUGCCUCUCUUCUGACCCUUUUGAGUGAUCGAGAAUUUGCAGGAGUAAUGAAAUAACUAUAGCAAAAGUUCGAUUCUUGACUUCAAAUUUUGCAGCUUUUUUAAAUUGUAAAUGUCUUUGAGGCGUGACUUUGGCCAUCCAUUUGAGUUAAAUAGAUGUUACUAGUACUUAAAAAAAUUCUCUAGUGUUAAUGGAUGAGGUCUGGCACUUUAUUUCUUUUAAGGAAUGGCUUCAGAUUGCACCAGAAA